RNAcentral lists this ribosomal RNA (497 nucleotides) under uncultured bacterium. Its description in RNAcentral is "partial 16S ribosomal RNA". It matches the Rfam family "Bacterial small subunit ribosomal RNA", at positions 28 to 507 of the family's 1533-position model. The record is from RNAcentral.
GAUGAACGCUGGCGGCGUGCCUAAUACAUGCAAGUCGAGCGAACAGAUGAGGAGCUUGCUCCUCUGACGUUAGCGGCGGACGGGUGAGUAACACGUGGAUAACCUACCUAUAAUACUGGGAUAACUUCGGGAAACCGGAGCUAAUACCGGAUAAUAUAUUGAACCGCAUGGUUCAAUAGUGAAAGACGGUUUUGCGGUCACUUAUAGAUGGAUCCGCGCCGCAUUAGCUAGUUGGUAAGGUAACGGCUUACUAAGGCAACGAUGCGUAGCCGACGGGAGAGGGUGGUCGCCGACCUGGGAACUGGACCGGCCACCAGGGUCCUACGGGAGGCCGCAGAAGGCAACCUUACGCAGUGGGCGAAAGCAUUACGGAAUAGGGCGGAGUGAGAUACAACGGUCUUGGGAUCGUAAAACUCUGUUAUUAGGUAAAAACAACUGUCUAAUUAAACAUGCCCGUCUUGACGGUACCUAAUAAAAAAGCAACGGCUAACUACGUG